Molecule: ribosomal RNA, 406 nt
Filed under: uncultured bacterium
Lineage: Bacteria
Description: partial 16S ribosomal RNA
Rfam family: Bacterial small subunit ribosomal RNA
Source: RNAcentral
AUUGAACGCUGGCGGCAUGCUUUACACAUGCAAGUCGAACGAGUGGCGCACGGGUGAGUAAUACAUCGGAACGUGUCCUAUCGUGGGGGAUAACUGAUCGAAAGAUCAGCUAAUACCGCAUACGAUUGGAGCGGCCGAUGCCCGAUUAGCUAGUUGGUGAGGUAAAGGCUCACCAAGGCGACGAUCGGUAGCUGGUCUGAGAGGACGAUCAGCCACACUGGGACUGAGACACGGCCCAGACUCCUACGGGAGGCAGCAGUGGGGAAUAUUGGACAAUGGGGGCAAGCCUGAUCCAGCCAUGCCGCGUGUAUGAUGAAGGUCUUAGGAUUGUAAACUGCUUUCAGCAGGGAAGCGGUACCGGAAGAAGAAGCACCGGCUAACUACGUGCCAGCAGCCGCGGUAAUAC